Molecule: small nuclear RNA, 18 nt
Filed under: Arabidopsis thaliana (thale cress)
Lineage: Eukaryota; Viridiplantae; Streptophyta; Magnoliopsida; Brassicales; Brassicaceae
Description: snRNA_11191
Source: RNAcentral
AGCGCGGGUAAACGGCGG